GACGAACGCUGGCGGCGUGCUUAACACAUGCAAGUCGAGCGGAAAGGCCCUUUCGGGGGUACUCGAGCGGCGAACGGGUGAGUAACACGUGAGUAAUCUGCCCUUCACUUAGGGAUAACGCUAAGAAAUUGGUGCUAAUACCUGGUAUGACCGCUUCUCGCAUGGGAUGGUGGUGGAAAGAUUUUUUGGUGGAGGAUGUGCUCGCGGCCUAUCAGCUUGUUGGUGGGGUAAUGGCCUACCAAGGCUUCGACGGGUAGCCGGCCUGAGAGGGUGACCGGCCACACUGGGACUGAGACACGGCCCAGACUCCUACGGGAGGCAGCAGUGGGGAAUAUUGGACAAUGGGCGGAAGCCUGAUCCAGCAACGCCGCGUGAGGGAUGACGGCCUUCGGGUUGUAAACCUCUUUCAGCACAGACGAAGCGCCUGUGAAGGUGGUGACGGUAUGUGCAGAAGAAGCACCGGCCAACUACGUGCCAGCAGCCGCA
Molecule: ribosomal RNA, 486 nt
Filed under: uncultured bacterium
Lineage: Bacteria
Description: bacterial SSU rRNA
Rfam family: Bacterial small subunit ribosomal RNA
Source: RNAcentral